GAAAAUUAAAUAGCUGCGGUAUAUUAACCGUACAAAGGUAGCAUAAUCAUUAGUCUUUUAAUUGAGGGCUGGAAUGAAUGGUUUGACAAAAAAUAAACUGUCUUUAUAUAUAAAAUUGAAAUUUAUUUUUAAGUUAAAAUGCUUAAAUAGAAUUAAGGGACGAGAAGACCCUAUAGAAUUUUUAAAUGGUUUUAGGUAUAAUUGUUUGGUUGAAGUAAAAUUAUAUUAGAAAUUAUUUUUUGUUGGGGUGACAAGAGAAUAAGAAAAACUUCUGAUUUUAUUUUUGACUAAAAUAAUAGAAAGAAAAAUAAGAUCUUUUAAUAAAAAUUAUAAGAAUAAAUUACCUUAGGGAUAACAGCGUAAUUUUAUUUGAGAGUUCAAAUCAAUAAUAAAGUUUGCGACCUCGAUGUUGGAUUAAGAUGAUUAUUAAAUGCAGAAGUUUAAAAAAUAAGUCUGUUC
Molecule: ribosomal RNA, 459 nt
Filed under: Ornebius sp. GDE
Lineage: Eukaryota; Metazoa; Arthropoda; Insecta; Orthoptera; Mogoplistidae
Description: partial 16S ribosomal RNA
Source: RNAcentral